UACAGAGGUCUCAAGCGUUGUUCGGAUUCAUUGGGCGUAAAGGGUGCGUAGGUGGCGCCAUAAGUCAGGUGUGAAAUUUCGGAGCUUAACUCCGAAACUGCAUUCGAUACUGUGGUGCUUGAGGACUGGAGAGGAGACUGGAAUUCACGGUGUAGCAGUGAAAUGCGUAGAGAUCGUGAGGAAGACCAGUGGCGAAGGCGGGUCUCUGGACAGUUCCUGACACUGAGGCACGAAGGCCAGGGGAGCAAACGGG
Molecule: ribosomal RNA, 253 nt
Filed under: uncultured bacterium
Lineage: Bacteria
Description: partial 16S ribosomal RNA
Rfam family: Bacterial small subunit ribosomal RNA
Source: RNAcentral